Molecule: long non-coding RNA, 417 nt
Filed under: Arabidopsis thaliana (thale cress)
Lineage: Eukaryota; Viridiplantae; Streptophyta; Magnoliopsida; Brassicales; Brassicaceae
Description: ncRNA (AT5G01675)
Source: RNAcentral
ACGCGCAGAGAGAGAGAGAGAGCCACGUCCCUGUUGCAAAAUAAGCCGUAGGCUUCUUCACUGUGAAGCAAACACAAGUUUUUGACAGAAGUGAAGAACACAUACACUCAAGAUCUCGAUGCAAUUCUCACACGAAUAAGGUGGCUAAUUAAGUAGUGGGAGAGUCACCGGAAGAUUGUCGGAGAUUUGUCCAGCAGGUGACAUCUCCAUCUCAGCUUCUGCUCCCACAUGAUGAUUAUUCUCCAUCUGUACGAUAAUCAUAGGUCAAAAUCACUAUUCACUUUCUCUUUUUGUCUUCUAUCCAAGGAAUAUCUUUUUCACACCACCAAAUAACAACCAUUAAAAAACACUACAGAAGGUUAUGUUUCUCAUAAUUUGUGUGUUCUUUAUGUUUAAGCUUUUAAGUUUGGAAGCAGU